UACGGGGGGGGCAAGCGUUGUUCGGAAUUACUGGGCGUAAAGGGCUCGUAUGCGGCCAACUAAGUCAGACGUGAAAUCCCUCGGCUUAACCGGGGAACUGCGUCUGAUACUGGAUGGCUUGAGUUUGGGAGAGGGAUGCGGAAUUCCAGGUGUAGCGGUGAAAUGCGUAGAUAUCUGGAGGAACACCGGUGGCGAAGGCGGCAUCCUGGACCAACACUGACGCUGAGUGAGCGAAAGCCAGGGGAGCAAACGGG
This 254-nucleotide ribosomal RNA is filed under the name uncultured bacterium. RNAcentral's name for it is "partial 16S ribosomal RNA". It matches the Rfam family "Bacterial small subunit ribosomal RNA", at positions 524 to 776 of the family's 1533-position model. The record is from RNAcentral.